Paramormyrops kingsleyae is the source of this 1000-nucleotide long non-coding RNA. RefSeq lists it as uncharacterized. NCBI's taxonomy places the organism in Eukaryota, Metazoa, Chordata, Actinopteri, Osteoglossiformes, Mormyridae. The record is from RefSeq and is a predicted model, not a curated record.
UAUUCUUAAUAAAGUUAACACGUGUACACAAUUGAAAUGCUGCUAAAUAGGGUGCAACUUACAGAUGGAGGUCAAAUAAAUGACAAUUGUAUACCAUACUAUUUAAUAAUUGUUUAAAAUAAACAGAUAGACCUGACGCUGUUUAGGUAUUGGUACAGACAUGCCUGAUGCACGCCAGAUGCGUGAGCGUUGACAAUCCUGAACAUGGCUGGACUUGAACAUCACAAAUUCAUGCACAUUUGUGUAGACUUUGUCCAGACAGUUCUCCCCUCUUAUGGCAAAGUUCACAUGCUGAUAUAAUUUAGGUAGAACCAACUUCAUAUUAGCAUGAUUAAAGUCGCCAGCAACAACGAAAAAUCCAUUCAGGUGCGCCAUUUGUAGCUUGCUGAUAGCUUCGUACAGCUUGCCUAGUGGCUGGUUGCAUUGGAGCUAGGUGGGAAAUAUACAACUACCACUGCGUUGAAUUCUUCCAGCAGGUGACAGUCCACCUGCACUUGAGGGGACUAGAGAGUGACGACAUCAGUGCACAUUCUUUCCACAUCAGACAGUGAAAACGAAAACCUAUGAUAUGGACAUCACUGACGGAACAAGUGAGGUACAGAAUUCUUCAGAUGCUCAAGCAACGACGCGAACAAGAUCUUAUCACAGGUGACAUGGAUGGAAUGAGACUGCGGCUGGAGAUGAGCAAUAUCAAGGAACAGUGAAAAUAGCCAGUGUGUGACACAGUCAUCUACCAAGAGAGCUUGCAAAUUGUUUAAUCAAAUAGGCAUCUGCUCUGCUCUUCCUAAACAUGCUUAAUGAUGGAAGAAACAUGCUUAACCCCUGGAAGAGUGGAAUCCCAAAAAAAAAAAAAAUCUCAGGAGAUUUUUGUCAUCUUUAUGUUUAAAUAUGAAUAUGUAGACAUAUAUAUUGUAGAAUAUUUAUGUUCACAUUAAUUUGUUCAAAUGUGUGUUCACUUGUUUUAUUACUGCAGUGCUUAUUACAGACUGCGCAUGUGCAG